RNAcentral lists this ribosomal RNA (265 nucleotides) under uncultured archaeon. Its description in RNAcentral is "partial 16S ribosomal RNA". It matches the Rfam family "Archaeal small subunit ribosomal RNA", at positions 717 to 982 of the family's 1478-position model. The record is from RNAcentral.
ACACGACUACAUUAGAUACCCGGGUAGUCCUAGCCGUAAACGAUACUCGCUAGGUGUCGGCCACGGUGCGACCGUUGUCGGUGCCGUAGGGAAGCCGUGAAACGAGCCACCUGGGAAGUACGGCCGCAAGGCUGAAACUUAAAGGAAUUGGCGGGGGAGCACAACAACGGGUGGAGCUUGCGGUUUAAUUGGAUUCAACGCCGGAAAUCUUACCGGGACCGACAGCAACAUGAAGGCCAAGCUGAAGACUUUGCCGGAUUAGCUG